Molecule: long non-coding RNA, 1248 nt
Filed under: Equus caballus (horse)
Lineage: Eukaryota; Metazoa; Chordata; Mammalia; Perissodactyla; Equidae
Description: lncRNA (ENSECAG00000055892.1)
Source: RNAcentral
AUCCUCUGGCUUCUUUUCUAUAAGCUGGUAUCCCUGUGUAUUGGGGAUGUGUUUGGCUCAUGAAGCUUAUGAGUUCCAUAUUAUUAUUAACUGCUUCACAGAGGAAAAAAAAUCCAUAAACUUAAAAAGCCAGGGGCCGGCCCCGUGGCGCAGUGGUUAAGUUCGUACGUUCCGCUUCCUGGUGGCCCCGGGCUCGCCGGUUCGGAUCCCGGGUGCGGACAUGGCGCCGCCUGGCAAAAAGCCAUGCUGUCGUAGGCGUCCCACGUAUAAAGUAGAGGAAGAUGGGCACGGAUGUUAGCUCCGGGCCAGGCUUCCUCAGCAAAAGAGAGGAGGACUGGCAGUAGUUAGCUCAGGGCUAAUCUUCCUAAAAAAAAAAACAAACCAGCUAAUUAUAUGACUUCUGAUCCAAUUCAGGGCACGCUUUUGCCCCAGGACUCUAGUUGCAGCUGUGAACACAUUUCUUAAUUGUGGCCAUGACUUCUAUUUUUAAGCACUUCCAGAAGUCCUCAGGGCGGCUGAGGAUCAUUCUACACUCCUGCUUUAAUCAUGCUCAGGCCGUCUGAGUCUGCACCUGGAAGAUUAGCCCUAAGCUAACUGCUGCCAAUCCUCCUCUUUGCACUGAGGAACACUGGCCGUGAUCUAACAUCCGUGCCCAUCUUUCUCUACUUUAUAUGUGGGAUGCCUACCACAGCAUGGUUUGCCAAGCAGUGCCAUGUCCACACCCAGGAUCCAAACCGGCGAACACCGGGCCACUGAAGCGGAACGUGCAAACCUAACCUCUGGGCCAUCGGGCCGGCCCCCAUACCAGCUAGUUUUUAUGGAGCGCUAUAGCAGAUGGUGUGGAUGCCUCAUCUCUGACCUCACCUCCAGCCACAGGGAACAGCUUCUGUGCACACUGGAAACUUCUUAUCUUAAGUGUCCAAGUCUCUUUGUUUCUCUUCUUGCAACCAAAAAAGUUUGUUCAGCUCAUGUGCAAGGCUGCUAGAAGUGCUGAAAAUUAAUGCUCUAGGGUCAACUCUUAAGCAACGAGGGCUGAAAGUCAGUGAAUAAAUACGCCGCUUCACCAUCCCUUGGUCGGAUAAUUCUGAAGGAUGCUUCUCAGAGGGUCUUCAGCAGGACUGAGCCCCAGCUGCCCACAGUGGCAAUCAGCUCACCGAUGCACACUUCAUUGGCAUUCCUCCCUCCCCUGCCUUGCUUCUCCCGCUUUUGUUUCUUGGGAUCAUCUUCUCAAUAAAAUACUUAACCCAG